UUCCCCACUUGUACCUAGCCUCCUCCAUCCCUCGGGACCAACAAGGGGUAGUAAAGGAAUAUUCACCUGUUGUCCAUCGACUACGCCUGUUCCUUCCGUUUGUGGUAGAGCGCGCCCCUGAUAAUUGCAUCGUUGUGCCUGGGCUGUGAGAAUUACACGGCCUUGACUAUCAACUACGGAUUGGUUGAAAUUGAAACCAUUUAGGUUGAAAGCCAUAGUGCUGAUACCUAAAGCAGUGAACCAGAUACCUACUACAGGCCAAGCAGUUAGGAAGCUUCUUCGGCCCGAACCGAGGAAUCC
RNAcentral lists this long non-coding RNA (300 nucleotides) under Olea europaea subsp. europaea. The record is from RNAcentral. Lineage: Eukaryota; Viridiplantae; Streptophyta; Magnoliopsida; Lamiales; Oleaceae.